AUCUUUCGUGCUACCUCUCUCUUUCUCUCCGUGCCUUCCACCACCCUCGCCAUUUCCGUUCCCAAGGUUUUUCGAUUGCCAAUUUAUGUGUCUGAAUAUCUGAAGGUCUUGCGUGAUCCAAGCUUUGGUGACACGCGUGGUCAGAAAUAUUUUGUGAGGAUGAAUGGAAAAUUUGGUGGUGGAAGACAGCCGACAGGGACUCCUUCACUGGCUUGGUCCUGUGUGGUUGUUGUCUUCUCUCUUCUUGCAGGUGCUUCUGUUGUUCACAAUAUCUAUAAGCCUAAUCUUACAUUGCCUCCGGUUGAUGGGACCAAGCAGAAAUCUGAUGUGAAAGAAUGAUCAUCUCCCCUGUCAAUUUCUUUUAAUAUAGUGAGAUACCAAGCUUCAGGGCUUAAAAUAAUAGCACCAGCAUCAAUGGUGGCUUUGCGCUGAGGAUCACUGAAAUAUGCAGGUACAGUAAUAACCACUGCAUUCUUCACAGGUUUUUCCAAGUAUGCCUAUGCAAUGUUCAGCAUUUUGAGAGGACCAUGGAUGAUACUUCUUCGGCACAAAGGUUCUUCUCCUGACCCUUGUAACUUGUACUUGACAGAAAUCAUGAAUUUGUCAUUAAAACCAGCAACAACCUUAAAUGGCUACAACAUUUUAUCUUUUUGAAAAAGAGAGGGCCACUGUAUUUCCUACCGAUCAAUCUCUUAGCAACUGCAAGAGUUACAAAAAAUAUUUUGGUAGUCUAUUUUUACUGCUAAAAGUUUACAGGAAAAUGAUUCAAAGGAAAAAAAAAAACAGUAAUAGUUUAAGAGUAAAAAUAUACCGAAGAUGUUCUCUGGAUUAGUAGCCAUCUGAUUU
This is a long non-coding RNA of Vigna umbellata (rice bean), 846 nucleotides long. RefSeq lists it as uncharacterized. The record is from RefSeq and is a predicted model, not a curated record. Lineage: Eukaryota; Viridiplantae; Streptophyta; Magnoliopsida; Fabales; Fabaceae.